Molecule: long non-coding RNA, 141 nt
Organism: Ipomoea nil (Japanese morning glory)
Lineage: Eukaryota; Viridiplantae; Streptophyta; Magnoliopsida; Solanales; Convolvulaceae
Exons: 3
Source: RefSeq, a predicted model, not a curated record
ACGUCGCAUGAAGAAGACGUAGAAGAUGAAGAUGGUUCCCGUUUCGCUUAUGAGUUGAGCCUGGCCUAAGUUGGCGUUGUUUUUGGAUGUUAAGCGAAUGAGGUGAUGUCUAGGCGAGUGCGCAGUCUAGUGCUUGCUAGU